This 69-nucleotide transfer RNA is filed under the name Conger myriaster (whitespotted conger). RNAcentral describes it as "tRNA-His". It matches the Rfam family "tRNA". From Rfam's summary of the family: Transfer RNA (tRNA) molecules are approximately 80 nucleotides in length. Their secondary structure includes four short double-helical elements and three loops (D, anti-codon, and T loops). The record is from RNAcentral. Lineage: Eukaryota; Metazoa; Chordata; Actinopteri; Anguilliformes; Congridae.
GUAGAUAUAGUUUAACAAAGACAUUAGACCGUGACUCUGAAGAUAGGAAAUAAAAACUCCUUAUCUACC